UCCGGCCUACACAUGCAAGUCGAACGGUAACAGGAAGCAGCUUGCUGCUUCGCUGACGAGUGGCGGACGGGUGAGUAAUGUCUGGGAAACUGCCCGAUGGAGGGGGAUAACUACUGGAAACGGUAGCUAAUACCGCAUAACGUCGCAAGACCAAAGAGGGGGACCUUCGGGCCUCUUGCCAUCGGAUGUGCCCAGAUGGGAUUAGCUUGUUGGUGAGGUAACGGCUCACCAAGGCGACGAUCCCUAGCUGGUCUGAGAGGAUGACCAGCCACACUGGAACUGAGACACGGUCCAGACUCCUACGGGAGGCAGCAGUGGGGAAUAUUGCACAAUGGGCGCAAGCCUGAUGCAGCCAUGCCGCGUGUAUGAAGAAGGCCUUCGGGUUGUAAAGUACUUUCAGCGGGGAGGAAGGUGUUGUGGUUAAUAACCUCAGCAAUUGACGUUACCCGCAGAAGAAGCACCGGCUAACUCCGUGCCAGCAGCCGCGGUAAUACGGAGGGUGCAAGCGUUAAUCGGAAUUACUGGGCGUAAAGCGCACGCAGGCGGUCUGUCAAGUCGGAUGUGAAAUCCCCGGGCUCAACCUGGGAACUGCAUUCGAAACUGGCAGGCUUGAGUCUCGUAGAGGGGGGUAGAAUUCCAGGUGUAGCGGUGAAAUGCGUAGAGAUCUGGAGGAAUACCGGUGGCGAAGGCGGCCCCCUGGACGAAGACUGACGCUCAGGUGCGAAAGCGUGGGGAGCAAACAGGAUUAGAUACCCUGGUAGUCCACGCCGUAGACGAUGUCUAUUUGGAGGUUGUGCCCUUGAGGCGUGGCUUCCGGAGCUAACGCGUUAAAUAGACCGCCUGGGGAGUACGGCCGCAAGGUUAAAACUCAAAUGAAUUGACGGGGGCCCGCACAAGCGGUGGAGCAUGUGGUUUAAUUCGAUGCAACGCGAAGAACCUUACCUGGUCUUGACAUCCACAGAACUUUGCAGAGAUGCAAAGGUGCCUUCGGGAACUGUGAGACAGGUGCUGCAUGGCUGUCGUCAGCUCGUGUUGUGAAAUGUUGGGUUAAGUCCCGCAACGAGCGCAACCCUUAUCCUUUGUUGCCAGCGGUCCGGCCGGGAACUCAAAGGAAACUGCCAGUGAUAAACUGGAGGAAGGUGGGGAUGACGUCAAGUCAUCAUGGCCCUUACGACCAGGGCUACACACGUGCUACAAUGGCAUAUACAAAGAGAAGCGACCUCGCGAGAGCAAGCGGACCUCAUAAAGUAUGUCGUAGUCCGGAUUGGAGUCUGCAACUCGACUCCAUGAAGUCGGAAUCGCUAGUAAUCGUGGAUCAGAAUGCCACGGUGAAUACGUUCCCGGGCCUUGUACACACCGCCCGUCACACCAUGGGAGUGGGUUGCAAAAGAAGUAGGUAGCUUAACCUUCGGGAGGGCGCUUACCACUUUGUGAUUCAUGACUGGGGUGAAGUUCCGUAUCAAGUAA
Molecule: ribosomal RNA, 1467 nt
Filed under: Citrobacter amalonaticus
Lineage: Bacteria; Pseudomonadati; Pseudomonadota; Gammaproteobacteria; Enterobacterales; Enterobacteriaceae
Description: bacterial SSU rRNA
Rfam family: Bacterial small subunit ribosomal RNA
Source: RNAcentral